Molecule: transfer RNA, 73 nt
Filed under: Mobiluncus sp.
Lineage: Bacteria; Bacillati; Actinomycetota; Actinomycetes; Actinomycetales; Actinomycetaceae
Also listed under: 1 other name
Description: tRNA-Lys
Rfam family: tRNA
About the family: Transfer RNA (tRNA) molecules are approximately 80 nucleotides in length. Their secondary structure includes four short double-helical elements and three loops (D, anti-codon, and T loops). Further hydrogen bonds mediate the characteristic L-shaped molecular structure. tRNAs have two regions of fundamental functional importance: the anti-codon, which is responsible for specific mRNA codon recognition, and the 3' end, to which the tRNAs corresponding amino acid is attached (by aminoacyl-tRNA synthetases). tRNAs cope with the degeneracy of the genetic code in two manners: having more than one tRNA (with a specific anti-codon) for a particular amino acid; and 'wobble' base-pairing, i.e. permitting non-standard base-pairing at the 3rd anti-codon position.
Source: RNAcentral
GGGCCUAUAGCUCAGUUGGUAGAGCAGCGGACUUUUAAUCCGUGGGUCGAGGGUUCGAGCCCCUCUGGGCCUA